Molecule: long non-coding RNA, 953 nt
Organism: Oncorhynchus gorbuscha (pink salmon)
Lineage: Eukaryota; Metazoa; Chordata; Actinopteri; Salmoniformes; Salmonidae
Exons: 3
Source: RefSeq, a predicted model, not a curated record
GGUAAGUAUGAAGGUGAAUAGGGUGUCGCAGGUGGUUGGAUAUAGUGAGACGGGAAUCCCCAAAAUGGCAUAGGCGGUGCCCCAUAAACCCUGACAGUAUUACCUUCUGUGUGUGGUUGGAAUGAUGGCUGGCCUAGAAACUGGUAUGUGAGUGUGUGGUCUCACGUAGGUCUUCUGACUGGGUAAGUCUGAGUGUCGUUGUUAGACUGUCUUCCUGUAUAGGUCGGGUAUAUUCUCCACGGUUGCUCUCUGGGCAUUGCUCGCUCAACAGGUGAGUAUUCUUCCUCUGAUUCUCUCUCCUCAGGUUGGUCCUCUGGUUUCGCUUGUUUUGUUUCUCUUACAGGUGCAUUGAUUCGGGUAGUUAUGAUUUCUCCGGAUGCUCUUCUACGGAUUGGAUAAAUCUGCAGUCCACUGGUAGGUUGGCUGUGCAGGUAAGUCAACAGGUAGGUCAUUAGCAAGGUGGAGCAGUUUUCCAUGUAGAGUGUGGAUCUUCAUGCCACCAGACUCUGAACUUACUUUGUACACAGGGUUGUCACACACUUGCUCUUUGACAACGUAAACGGUUCUCUCCCAGUAGGACUUUAGUUUUCCCGGACCACCUCUUUUGUUCAGGUUCUGGACAAGGAUUUGAUCACCGGAGGACGACACUUUUAAUCUGUCUGUACCUUCUCCCUCUUGCACUUGACUGCUUGCUGUUCUUGGAUGCUAUUCUGUAUGUUUCAGUCUUUCUCUCAGCAUUUGAGACAGCAGGUCAGCAAACAGCAGGUCUACUGGCAGGCGCGGAUGGCGACCGUAGAACAGAUACAAGGGUUGAUGGCCAUCUGUGGACUGGGAAUACACCCGAUGUCUUCAUCUCCACGUGCGAAGGCUGCAGACUCUUCGAACACCAUGUUCUUCAUCAGCUCUUGCUGUUCUUUCUCCGGGUGGCUCCAGCUGAUCUUUCUCCAGAGGUU